CUCGCGGGCGGGCCUCGGCAGGGAGGGUUUCGACCCUGCCGGUUCUUGGUAGUCACAAUCGGUAUUGCAGACCUUGUCGUGUGCCCGCCCACCCU
Molecule: non-coding RNA, 95 nt
Filed under: Ralstonia pickettii OR214
Lineage: Bacteria; Pseudomonadati; Pseudomonadota; Betaproteobacteria; Burkholderiales; Burkholderiaceae
Source: RNAcentral